AACGAACGCUGGCGGCAUGCCUAACACAUGCAAGUCGAACGGGAUCCUAGCUUGCUAGGUGAGAGUGGCGGACGGGUGAGUAACACGUGGGAAUCUGCCUUUUGGUUCGGGAUAACCGCGGGAAACUGCGGCUAAUACCGAAUGCCCUCGAGAGAGGAAAGAUUUAUCGCCAGAAGAGGAGCCCGCGUCCGAUUAGGUAGUUGGUGGGUAAAGGCCUACCAAGCCGACGAUCGGUAGCUGGUCUGAGAGGAUGAUCAGCCACACUGGGACUGAGAUACGGCCCAGACUCCUACGGGAGGCAGCAGUGGGGAAUAUUGGACAAUGGGGGCAACCCUGAUCCAGCAAUGCCGCGUGAGUGAUGAAGGCCUUAGGGUUGUAAAGCUCUUUUGCCAGGGAAGAUGAUGACUGUACCUGGAGAAUAAGCCCCGGCUAACUUCGUGCCAGCAGCCGCGGU
RNAcentral lists this ribosomal RNA (454 nucleotides) under uncultured bacterium. RNAcentral's name for it is "bacterial SSU rRNA". It matches the Rfam family "Bacterial small subunit ribosomal RNA", at positions 29 to 521 of the family's 1533-position model. The record is from RNAcentral.